CACAUGACUCUCGGCAACGGAUAUCUCGGCUCUCGCAUCGAUGAAGAACGUAGCGAAAUGCGAUACCUGGUGUGAAUUGCAGAAUCCCGCGAACCAUCGAGUCUUUGAACGCAAGUUGCGCCCGAGGCCACUUGGCCGAGGGCACGCCUGCCUGGGAGUCACGC
RNAcentral lists this ribosomal RNA (164 nucleotides) under Poa macroclada. RNAcentral describes it as "5.8S ribosomal RNA". It matches the Rfam family "5.8S ribosomal RNA". From Rfam's summary of the family: 5.8S ribosomal RNA (5.8S rRNA) is a component of the large subunit of the eukaryotic ribosome. It is transcribed by RNA polymerase I as part of the 45S precursor that also contains 18S and 28S rRNA. Functionally, it is thought that 5.8S rRNA may be involved in ribosome translocation. Lineage: Eukaryota; Viridiplantae; Streptophyta; Magnoliopsida; Poales; Poaceae. The record is from RNAcentral.